UGAGGGACAUAGCUCAGCGGGAGAGGAUCUGCUUUGCGAGCAUCAUGUCCCAGGUUCAAUCCCUGGUACCUCAA
Podarcis lilfordi (Lilford's wall lizard) is the source of this 74-nucleotide non-coding RNA. Lineage: Eukaryota; Metazoa; Chordata; Lepidosauria; Squamata; Lacertidae. The record is from the annotation of a GenBank genome assembly.